GGAAGAACCAUAGCUCAGUGGUAGAGCAUCUGCUUUCGUGUAUAAAGUCCCAGGUCCAAUCCCUGGUUAUCUCCA
Molecule: non-coding RNA, 75 nt
Organism: Podarcis lilfordi (Lilford's wall lizard)
Lineage: Eukaryota; Metazoa; Chordata; Lepidosauria; Squamata; Lacertidae
Source: the annotation of a GenBank genome assembly